This is a long non-coding RNA of Zalophus californianus (California sea lion), 1413 nucleotides long. RefSeq lists it as uncharacterized. The transcript has 3 exons. Lineage: Eukaryota; Metazoa; Chordata; Mammalia; Carnivora; Otariidae. The record is from RefSeq and is a predicted model, not a curated record.
GGCGCGGGGCCGACGGGGAGGAGCGGAGGGGGCGUUCCGGGGUGGGGGGGAUGUGGAGGCAGCGGGUGCGAACCCUGGCUGGGGUGCGGAGACCUCGGGCCGGAAUUCAGGGAGGGGAGAUCCCCGAGCCACCUCCACGGACCCCGCCCCGGGGCAGCUCACGUCGGUUCCGGGGCGGACUACCCCUCUCCAAACGGCGCGGCACUGCGGCUCUCGGGAGUCUGGAGAGGGGGGAGGGGUCUGAGGCCAUGGGUCCAGAAACCGUUACUGGGAAGGCAGCAUGUCUCCUAAAACAGUAUGUUUGAUGGUGCUGACUCCCAUUAAUAGAUGCUCUGAAACGACUGAGGAUACUUCUCUUAACCACCUGGGCACCUGGUCAGUUUCACCACCAUUCUGAGAAGAGCAGAGCCAUGAAGCCAGAAACAUACAAGGAUGCUGUGCUGGAGCUUGGCUUCAACUGGGUACUGACCUGAGCCCUGGUUGUUCUACUCAUAGAAUCCUCGGCUCUCUCUUUCUUCUACAGGAGUACUUGUCUGCACCUAUUCCCCUUAGAGGGUCCUUGAUCAGUCAAGAGGAGGAGGCAGCUCCAUGUUUACACCAGAUCACAAAUUCCAUGUCCCAUCUCCAGCCCUACCCCAACCCACCCCUUUUCCAGAUUUUAAAAGUUUCAGAAAAUGACCGUGACUCAGUCUGGAUCAAGAGCUGCUGACCAAUCGCCAAAUUUAAACUUCAACCGAAUGACAUGGUUGGUAUGGCCAACAGCAACUCCUCAAAGGAAGAGAAAUGCUGUGUCCAGGGAAAUGACUUCUUGACAGAUAAAAACAGAUACCAACCUUCUCCGCAUCUUGGAAUUUGACUUCUAGCCCAUUUGAUUUACAGUACUUGUCAGCGCCUUCCUCCUGUCCAACAGAACUCCCAAACUUAGCUGCUCCCAGCUAAGCCAACAAGAUGACACUGCACUCCAAAAGAUGCUGAAAGGCAAAAACCAAGAGUUAUAAACUGCAGCUAUAUACAAGGCUUCUUAAAUGCAGGGAGCUUUGAACAGAUGGACUACGUUAAUAUAAUUAAAAAGUAAUUUUUGAUGCUAUAAACAUGAGCUCAGUAUGCUGAUGGGUGGGGGGGUAAGUGGGUGGGGGAAUUGGAGGGCCCCACAAAUGACGGGCAUGACCAAAAAAGGAUUGAGUGCAAAUCACAAAACAUCAUAUUUUGGAAAAUUAACAAUUACCAAGGGACAGGUUUUUGUGUAAUGGAUUUUGAGAGAUGGAUGGGCCUGACCUCAAAAGAGCCAUAGCCCAAAUAAAAAAAAUAGGCACAUAGACAUACACAUUGGUAUGCAAAUUAAAAGUUAUGGUAGAUUAAAAGGACGAUGGAAGCAGAGAUAUAAACAAUUCUGCAUGAGAAAGAUGAUUAUCC